This 375-nucleotide ribosomal RNA is filed under the name uncultured organism. Its description in RNAcentral is "partial 16S ribosomal RNA". It matches the Rfam family "Bacterial small subunit ribosomal RNA", at positions 527 to 896 of the family's 1533-position model. The record is from RNAcentral.
GUAGGUGGCAAGCGUUGUCCGGGAAUUAUUGGGGCGUAAAGCGCGCGCAGGCGGUUCUUUAAGUCUGAUGUGAAAGCCCACGGGCUCAACCGUGGAGUGUCAUUGGAAACUGGAGAACUUGAGUACAGAAGAGGAAAGCGGAAUUCCACUUGUAGCGGUGAAAUGCGUAGAGAUGUGGAGGAACACCAGUGGCGAAGGCGGCUUUCUGGUCUGUAACUGACGCUGAGGCGCGAAAGCGUGGGGAGCAAACAGGAUUAGAUACCCUGGUAGUCCACGCCGUAAACGAUGAGUGCUAAGUGUUAGGGGGUUUCCGCCCCUUAGUGCUGCAGCUAACGCAUUAAGCACUCCGCCUGGGGAGUACGGCCGCAAAGGCUG